GAUGAACGCUGGCGGCGUGCCUAACACAUGCAAGUCGAACGGAGAUUACGGACGGAAGUUUUCGGAUGGAAGACUGUAAUUCUUAGUGGCGGACGGGUGAGUAACGCGUGGGCAACCUGCCCUAUACAGGGGGAUAGCAGCUGGAAACGGCUGGUAAGACCGCAUAAGUCGGUUAAAUCGCAUGAUUUGAUCGGGAAAUGAGCAAUCAGGUAUAGGAUGGGCCCGCGUCCGAUUAGCCAGUUGGCAGGGUAAAAGCCUGCCAAAGCGACGAUCGGUAGCCGGACUGAGAGGUCGGACGGCCACAUUGGGACUGGGACACGGCCCAAACUCCUACGGGAGGCAGCAGUGGGGGAUAUUGCACAAUGGAGGAAACUCUGAUGCAGCGACGCCGCGUGAGUGAAGAAGUAUUUCGGUAUGUAAAGCUCUAUCAGCAGGGAAGAUGAUGACGGUACCUGACUAAGAAGCCCCGGCUAACUACGUG
This 481-nucleotide ribosomal RNA is filed under the name uncultured bacterium. RNAcentral describes it as "partial 16S ribosomal RNA". It matches the Rfam family "Bacterial small subunit ribosomal RNA", at positions 28 to 507 of the family's 1533-position model. The record is from RNAcentral.